GUGGGGAAUAUUGGACAAUGGGGGGAACCCUGAUCCAGCCAUGCCGCGUGUGUGAAGAAGGCCUUUUGGUUGUAAAGCACUUUAAGUUGGGAGGAAGGGCAGUAAGUUAAUACCUUGCUGUUUUGACGUUACCGACAGAAUAAGCACCGGCUAACUUCGUGCCAGCAGCCGCGGUAAUACGAAGGGUGCAAGCGUUAAUCGGAAUUACUGGGCGUAAAGCGCGCGUAGGUGGUUUUGUAAGUUGGAGGUGAAAUCCCCGGGCUCAACCUGGGAACGGCAUCGAAAACUGCAUGACUAGAGUACGGUAGAGGGUAGUGGAAUUUCCUGUGUAGCGGUGAAAUGCGUAGAUAUAGGAAGGAACACCAGUGGCGAAGGCGACUACCUGGACUGAUACUGACACUGAGGUGCGAAAGCGUGGGGAGCAAACAGGAUUAGAUACCCCUGUAGUCC
RNAcentral lists this ribosomal RNA (450 nucleotides) under uncultured bacterium. RNAcentral describes it as "partial 16S ribosomal RNA". It matches the Rfam family "Bacterial small subunit ribosomal RNA", at positions 354 to 796 of the family's 1533-position model. The record is from RNAcentral.